RNAcentral lists this ribosomal RNA (687 nucleotides) under Triticum aestivum (bread wheat). Its description in RNAcentral is "partial small subunit ribosomal RNA". Lineage: Eukaryota; Viridiplantae; Streptophyta; Magnoliopsida; Poales; Poaceae. The record is from RNAcentral.
AUGGCAAUCAAGAAGAUGAUGGUCAUACUCCUACAGAAGGCAAUGUUGACGUCAACAUGGAUGAUAGCAAUCCUGAGCUUAGAGACCAUAGAGAGCUAUAAAUACAAUGAUGGGAUGAGCAGCAAGGAAGACGAAGAUGCAUGUUUGCACCCCCCACGCUGCCAUGUUCUUUCUUUGCGUAUAUCUACCAAUAAUCGUUUCGGUGCAGUGCUGAACUUUGAGCGGGAGAUGGAGAGACUUCCAACUACCAACUUUACUGUUUUGGAGCUGCAUCUCAAUGUAACGGGGCAUGUUUUAGGACCACUUGUGCUGCGUCUCCUUAUGAUGCAUCACAUUCGGACUGCUACACAGAGGCUUAAGGUUUUUUUAUGGGACUGGUCCAAGUCAAAAUGUCUUGAAAAAUGUCCUUGUGAUGAGCCCAAGAACUGGAGGAGCCAAAGUAUCUCCUUGACUCAUCUCAAAGACGUAGAAAUCAACAACUUCAAAGGAGGGGACGGUGAGAUUGAUUUUGUGAAAAUGACAUUGAGAUGGGCACCAAAGCUUAACACAAUGACCAUCAAUCUAGCUCAUGACGCAGACAUUGGACGUUGCGCCACGAAUAUCUACAGUAUUUCCUUGGCGUAUCCUUUUGUUAAUUGCUCUGUUUAUCAAUGUUCUGGUGGACUGGUCCAACAAACAUGCCUAUAG